This 478-nucleotide ribosomal RNA is filed under the name uncultured bacterium. RNAcentral's name for it is "partial 16S ribosomal RNA". It matches the Rfam family "Bacterial small subunit ribosomal RNA", at positions 28 to 507 of the family's 1533-position model. The record is from RNAcentral.
GAUGAACGCUGGCGGCGUGCUUAACACAUGCAAGUCGAACGAGAAAUGGAGACGGACACCUUCGGGCGGAAGGCUUCAUUUCGAGUGGCGGACGGGUGAGUAACGCGUGGGUAACCUGCCUCAUACAGGGGGAUAACAGUUGGAAACGACUGUUAAUACCGCAUAAGACCACAGCACCGCAUGGUGCGGGGGUAAAAACUCCGGUGGUAUGAGAUGGACCCGCGUUCGAUUAGCCAGUUGGCGGGGUAACGGCCCACCAAAGCGACGAUCGAUAGCCGAUCUGAGAGGAUGACCGGCCACAUUGGGACUGAGACACGGCCCAAACUCCUACGGAAGGCAGCAGUGGGGAAUAUUGCACAAUGGGGGAAACCCUGAUGCAGCGACGCCGCGUGAGUGAAGAAGUACUUCGGUAUGUAAAGCUCUAUCAGCAGGGAAGAAAAUGACGGUACCUGAGUAAGAAGCCCCGGCUAACUACGUG